This 465-nucleotide ribosomal RNA is filed under the name Vreelandella stevensii. RNAcentral describes it as "partial 16S ribosomal RNA". It matches the Rfam family "Bacterial small subunit ribosomal RNA", at positions 338 to 795 of the family's 1533-position model. Lineage: Bacteria; Pseudomonadati; Pseudomonadota; Gammaproteobacteria; Oceanospirillales; Halomonadaceae. The record is from RNAcentral.
CCUACGGGUGGCAGCAGUGGGGAAUAUUGGACAAUGGGGGCAACCCUGAUCCAGCCAUGCCGCGUGUGUGAAGAAGGCCCUCGGGUUGUAAAGCACUUUCAGUGAGGAAGAACGCCUGGUGGUUAAUACCCAUCAGGAAAGACAUCACUCACAGAAGAAGCACCGGCUAACUCCGUGCCAGCAGCCGCGGUAAUACGGAGGGUGCGAGCGUUAAUCGGAAUUACUGGGCGUAAAGCGCGCGUAGGUGGCUUGAUAAGCCGGUUGUGAAAGCCCCGGGCUCAACCUGGGAACGGCAUCCGGAACUGUCAAGCUAGAGUGCAGGAGAGGAAGGUAGAAUUCCCGGUGUAGCGGUGAAAUGCGUAGAGAUCGGGAAGAAUACCAGUGGCGAAGGCGGCCUUCUGGACUGACACUGACACUGAGGUGCGAAAGCGUGGGUAGCAAACAGGAUUAGAUACCCUUGUAGUC